UUUGGACUGAAAAAUAAAAGCAAAAGUAUUACACAAAUGACAGAUGAGUGGGCAUUUUAAAACUCAAAGAUGUCAUGACAUUCUUUAAAAAUAGUAUACUUACUCUGCACCUCAAGGGGAAGAGAUCUUAGCAAAUCAGCUCCACGAAAACAAGCAUAGCCAUUUCUGCUCUCCUCGUACCGAGAUCUAUUCUGUGGAAGCUUAAGCAACAGUGGGAUACAUACGACACAACUGAGUGACUACAGCACUUAACUGAUGUGCUGAGAGUACACAAGAGAAGAGCAGAACGUCAGACAGUCACAGAAAAAGCACCGACUCACUGGCCCGCUUUCCAUCACCAGCCACAAUGCCAGCUGGCUUGAGGAAGCAGGGCAGGCAUUGCUAAGAUGCUUCAAGAGCCCAGAGUCAAGAGGAGCUUGUAACACUUAAAAACCAAAGUCUGAAGUGGCAGCAGCAAGGAUCAAAUGCAAAUGUCAACCCAGUGAAAAUGACAUCAUAUUCUGAAAGUCCUUUAAGCCUUGUGGAUUCUUUAUGGAAAGUAAUAUGAACACUGGGGACCACAGAGACCACACCUGGAGAAAUACUUCGAUAGUCUACGAAAUAGCCAGAAGCCUAGAAAAUUUUUAAAAAUUCGGAACAUGGGGCCAGUGAGAUGGCUCGGUUGAUAAAAGAGCCUGCCAUGCCUGACGACAUGAGUUCAACCCCUGGUACUAAUGUUAGGAGGCCUACAACUGGAAGCAUUCCUAAUGGGAAAAAUGAUGUCAUCUGGGC
Non-coding RNA from Peromyscus maniculatus bairdii (prairie deer mouse), 771 nucleotides. The record is from RefSeq and is a predicted model, not a curated record. Lineage: Eukaryota; Metazoa; Chordata; Mammalia; Rodentia; Cricetidae.